Molecule: non-coding RNA, 23 nt
Filed under: Cricetulus griseus (Chinese hamster)
Lineage: Eukaryota; Metazoa; Chordata; Mammalia; Rodentia; Cricetidae
Source: RNAcentral
CAGCAAGCAAGGACCUCUCUCUG